CCUACGGGUGGCAGCAGUGAGGAAUAUUGGUCAAUGGUCGGGAGACUGAACCAGCCAAGCCGCGUGAGGGAGUAAGGUACAGAGUAUCGUAAACCUCUUUUGUCAGGGAACAAAGGCGGGGACGUGUCCCCGGAUGAGUGUACCUGAAGAAAAAGAAUCGGAUAACUCCGUGCCAGCAGCCGCGGUAAUACGGAGGAUGCGAGCGUUAUCCGGAUUUAUUGGUUUAAAAGGGUGAGCAGGCGGUCUGUUAAGUCAGCGGUAAAAGCCCGGGGCUCAACCCCGGCCCGCCGUUGAAACUGGCAGUCUCGAGUUGGCGAGAGGUAUGCGGAAUGCGCGGUGUAGCGGUGAAAUGCAUAGAUAUCGCGCAGAACUCCGAUUGCGAAGGCAGCAUGCCGGCUCCACACUGACGCUGAGGCACGAAAGCGUGGGUAUCGAACAGGAUUAGAUACCCGAGUAGUC
RNAcentral lists this ribosomal RNA (459 nucleotides) under uncultured bacterium. Its description in RNAcentral is "partial 16S ribosomal RNA". It matches the Rfam family "Bacterial small subunit ribosomal RNA", at positions 338 to 795 of the family's 1533-position model. The record is from RNAcentral.